RNA transcript from Oryzias melastigma (Indian medaka), 1157 nucleotides. RefSeq lists it as uncharacterized. The transcript has 6 exons. NCBI's taxonomy places the organism in Eukaryota, Metazoa, Chordata, Actinopteri, Beloniformes, Adrianichthyidae. The record is from RefSeq and is a predicted model, not a curated record.
GGUUCUUUCUUUUUUUUGUUUUUCCAUAAAGUUUCUGAAGGAUCUGACAGGAUGGAAACAGUAAAAGUGGUGACUUGUCUGUUUCUAACAAUAUUUUGUGCGUUACUUCAAUCGUCCACUGGGUGGCAGUGUAGCGUGCAGUUGGGUUGUAGUAGUGACGCAGCAGAAGAAGAAAUGCUCCUGUUGCGAUGCUAACAGAACGUGUGCUCUGAUACUAUUCUGUACCUCAGAUAUACGAAGUUGUGGAGAAGACUACAUCUGGCAGCUAAUGAAAAAGUCAAACUACGUUACCAAGGAUGGGAACGCUCCUCUGCACCUCUUUCCUUGAGAAGUCUGGCCAUGUGUGAUCCAAAAGUAACACCUGAGGAGAUCAGCCCUCUCCAGCUGGAGUUACCGACCCUCACGGCCUCCUCCAAGGAUUUGGGUUACUCAGAGAGAGGUCUACUUAAGCUGGGUUCUCAGGUCUGCAGUGCUACUGCCUCCACAUGCUCAACCUCAUCCUGAAGGCCAACUCUCAAGUACUGUCACAAAAUGCCCAGCUGAAGGAGCAGAGAAGAACAUCUGCAGCUGAGUUCCAGGAACAACACAGAGAACAAGGACUGAGCAGGUCUGAGUCUGCUGGAGGCCAAAGACAAGAGGUUGUUGGGAGCAACAAGAAGAAAUUCAAAGAGGAGUUUGGCCGCGAUGCAGACCAAAAGCUGUUGAACCUACGCAGACCUGAUGAUCACCACGUCACCAUCUUUGCUGGGAGACUAUAGUCCAGUGAAUGAACGGCGUGAGCGGAAGCAGACCGGCCAAACUGUGAAAAGUGUCUUGGAUUUCAACAGGAUCUCUGCAGAUCCCGUUGAUGAAGCAGCUGUUUACUUCCAGUCAUUUUUUUCCUCCGCAACAAACAAGAUCUCCUCUAACUCUGUGAUCCUUCCGUCUGAAAAGGCCUGUUUUAAUAAAUUUUAAUGGUCUUGUGCUAACGUAAUAGAUUAUUGUCAUUUCUCAUUGUUGUUUUGUGUUGAGACGGGACGUUUCAUUUGGAGAAGGAGGCAUCCGGAGCUCUGUUUACAUUCUCCUUUGGUUUCUGUGCACGACAGAGACAUUACUUAAGGCGACGAAAGGGCUUCUGGGUAUGUGGAAAGGGCAAAAUAAAGUCACAGUCCUGUGAA